GCCUGGCCCUAAACAUAGACAAUGUAAACACAACACUGUCCGCCAGAGAACUACAAGUGAAAAACUCGAAACUCCAAGGACUUGGCGGUGCUCCAUAUCAACCUAGAGGAGCCUGUCCUAUAAUCGAUACCCCACGUUAAACCCCACCACCCUUUGCCAAUCAGCCUAUAUACCGCCGUCGUCAGCCUACCCUAUGAAAGGAGAACAGUAGGCAAAAUAGUUAAUAACAAACACGUCAGGUCAAGGUGUAGCAUAUGGGGUGGAAGAGAUGGGCUACAUUUUCUGCUACAGAAUACACGAACGACCCAGUGAAACACGAAUCUGAAGGCGGAUUUAGCAGUAAGAUGAACAAGCAACACCAUCUUAAGCCCGCUCUGGAGCGCGC
RNAcentral lists this ribosomal RNA (385 nucleotides) under Paracontias holomelas. RNAcentral describes it as "partial 12S ribosomal RNA". It matches the Rfam family "Bacterial small subunit ribosomal RNA", at positions 794 to 1384 of the family's 1533-position model. Lineage: Eukaryota; Metazoa; Chordata; Lepidosauria; Squamata; Scincidae. The record is from RNAcentral.